AUGCAUGUUUUCUCCUCAAAAACUGGGUUAUGGAAGGAGAAGUCAUUUAUUCGCCAAGGGGAUUCCGCAGGAACAAUCGCAGAGGUAAGAUCGGCUUAUGAACCAUUCUACAGUGCUGCCUAUUGGAAAGGGGCGCUCUAUGUUCAUUGCGAACAAGAUUCCGUUUUCAGAAUUAACUUGUUGCAUGAUGAGUACCAACUAAUUAAGCUUCCAAAAGGAAAAGAAGGAUAUCACAAAGUUCGUAUUGGAAAAUCGAAGAAUGGGGUGUAUUCUGUAUUCUGCGAAGGGCUAUGCACAUUUCAGGUUUGGUUCCUUGAUGAAUCGCAUGGCCAGACGGAGUGGGUAUUGAAAAGUGACAUAAACCUUCAACCAGCUGACAAAAAUUAUGCUUGGAACGAGUUGGACGAUGGCCCCUGGAGCUUACAAUCGGACGAUCAGAGGGACUGGGUGUUGAAGAAUGAUGUCAACCUUGAGCCAGUGGACGGCAUCAGGGGAGCAACAGUGCAAGAUGAUUUUGAAUGGGACACUGACAAUGAAUGUAUCAUUGGCACUACAGAUUGGGGAAAAAAAUGA
RNAcentral lists this ribosomal RNA (573 nucleotides) under Triticum aestivum (bread wheat). RNAcentral describes it as "partial small subunit ribosomal RNA". The record is from RNAcentral. Lineage: Eukaryota; Viridiplantae; Streptophyta; Magnoliopsida; Poales; Poaceae.